UACGUAGGUGGCAAGCGUUGUCCGGAAUUAUUGGGCGUAAGGCGCGCGUAGGCGGUUCUGCAAGUCAGUUGUGAAAACUAUGGGCUUAACCCAUAGCCUGCAAUUGAAACUGUGGGACUUGAGUGAAGUAGAGGUAGGUGGAAUUCCCGGUGUAGCGGUGAAAUGCGUAGAGAUCGGGAGGAACACCAGUGGCGAAGGCGGCCUACUGGGCUUUAACUGACGCUGAAGCACGAAAGCAUGGGUAGCAAACAGGAUUAGAUACCCUGGUAGUCCAUGCCGUAAACGAUGAUUACUAGGUGUGGGGGGUCUGACCCCUUCCGUGCCGGAGUUAACACAAUAAGUAAUCCACCUGGGGAGUACGACCGCAAGGUUGAA
RNAcentral lists this ribosomal RNA (375 nucleotides) under uncultured bacterium. RNAcentral describes it as "bacterial SSU rRNA". It matches the Rfam family "Bacterial small subunit ribosomal RNA", at positions 524 to 898 of the family's 1533-position model. The record is from RNAcentral.